UACGGAGGGUGCAAGCGUUAUCCGGAUUCACUGGGCUUAAAGGGUGCGUAGGUGGGUUGGUAAGUCAGUGGUGAAAUCUCCGAGCUUAACUUGGAAACUGCCGUUGAUACUAUCAAUCUUGAAUAUCGCGUAGGUAAGCGGAAUAUGUCAUGUAGCGGUGAAAUGCUUAGAUAUGACAUAGAACACCAAUUGCGAAGGCAGCUUACUUCACGAUCAUUGACACUGAGGCACGAAAGCGUGGGGAGCAAACAGG
Molecule: ribosomal RNA, 253 nt
Filed under: uncultured bacterium
Lineage: Bacteria
Description: partial 16S ribosomal RNA
Rfam family: Bacterial small subunit ribosomal RNA
Source: RNAcentral